GCGGGUGUAGCUCAGUUGGUUAGAGCGCCGGCCUGUCACGCCGGAGGUCGCGGGUUCGAGCCCCGUCACUCGCGCCA
Molecule: transfer RNA, 77 nt
Filed under: Azospirillum brasilense
Lineage: Bacteria; Pseudomonadati; Pseudomonadota; Alphaproteobacteria; Rhodospirillales; Azospirillaceae
Also listed under: 1095 other names
Description: tRNA-Asp
Rfam family: tRNA
About the family: Transfer RNA (tRNA) molecules are approximately 80 nucleotides in length. Their secondary structure includes four short double-helical elements and three loops (D, anti-codon, and T loops).
Source: RNAcentral